AUGGCCACCUCCUCAGUGUCUAAGGGCUGCUUUGUUUUUAAGCCAAACUCCAAAAAGAGAAAGAUCUCUGUGCCAAUGGAGGACUAUUUUAACAAAGGGAAAAAUGAGCCUAAGGACAGUAAGCUUCAAUUUGGAACUUAGUUGAUAUGGCAGCAAAUGAAAUCUGAAAAUGAGCCACUACAAGAGGAAUUAAAUAAAAACUUGUUUGACAAUCUAACUGAAUUUCUGCAAAAAUCUCAUUCUGGAUUCCAGAAGAAUUCAAGAGACUUGGGCUGUCAAACAAAACUCAGAGAAAUUCCAACUGCUGCUCUUGUUCUUGGUGUGAAAGUCACAGAUCAUGAUUUAACAUUCAGAAGUCUAACAGAGGCCCUUCAGAAUAAAGUCACACCAUAUGUAGUCUCAUCGCAAGCUAAAGACUGUCCAGAUAUGAAACAUUUUUUGCAAAAUUUGGUCUCAUAAUUAAUGAACUGCUGUGUACAUCUAAAAUCCAAAGAGGGGGAAAGCGUUCAGGUCACCCAGAGAAAUACACAUUAUUUAAUGGAUUCACUUUCCAGUUGGUACAUGACUGUCACACAGAAGACAGACCCAAAAAUGCCAAGCAAAAAGAGGACUACUUCUAGCCAAUGGCAGUCUCCUCCUGUUUUGGCUACCUUAAAGGAUAUGGAAAGCUUUGCCACAAAAGUACUGCAAGAUUUCAUAAUUAUCAGCAGUCAACAUCUGCAUGAAUUUCCACUAAUACUCAUUGUGGGAAUCGCCACAUCUAUUAUCAACCACCGAUUGUUUCCUCAUGCAGUAUCAUCUCUGUUGUGUAUAGAACUGUUCCAAUUUUUGUCUUGCAAGGAGCAUCAGACUAUGGUACUCAAUAAGCUACUUCUUACAACUCAGUUUCCCUUUAAAAUAAAUGAAAAAGUAUUGCAGGUUCUGACCAACAUCUUUUUGUAUCAUGAUUUCUCGAUUCAAAACUUUAUAAAAGUCUUCAACUUUCUUUAUUAGAGCAUUUCUGUUCCCAGCCCUUAAGUGUCCUGUGCUGUAAUCUUCCAUAAGUCAAAAGAAGAAUAAAUUUUUUAUCAAAUAAUCAAUGUGAAAACAUCUGACGUCUUCCAUCUUUUAGGAGAUAUGUGGAAAAGCAAGCUUCAGAAAAGCAAGUUGCGCUCUUGACCAGUGAGAGAUGUUUGAAGAAGGAAACGCAAUUAUUACUAGAAAACCUGCAUGUUUAUCAUAUGAAUUACUUUCUGGUUUUGAGAUGUGUUCAUAAGUUCACCUCUUCUCUUCCCAAGUAUCCACUAGGUCGACAGAUCAGAGAGUUGUACCGCAUGUUUAGAAAAGAACAUCCGGAAUUCAGAGGAGUACGCAUCAGUCUUGCAGCUGCUGAAGAUGUUGGCAAAGGAUGAACUGAUGACCAUACUUGAGAAAUGUUUCGAGGUUUUUAAAUCUUCUUGUGAAAAGCACCUUGGCAGCACAGCUAAGAGAAUACAGGAGUUCCUGGCCCAGUUUCAGAGCUUCGAUGAAACCAAAGAGGUAGAAGAUGCUUCUGGUUCAUAGCCAAAGGGGCUUCAGAAGGCAGACCUCUAUCAUCUUCAGAAGUCUUUACUGGAAAUGAAGGAGUUAAGCAGAAGUAAAAAGCAAACCAAAUUUGAAGUACUCAGAGAAAAGGUUGUGAACUUCAUGACUGUCUAGUGAGAGAAUACCUUCUGCCUCCCGAGACACAGCCUCCAUGAGGUGGUGUGCUUCAGCGCCGCCCAUGCCCUUCGUAGGCAUUUAAUGCUGCUCCGUGAAUUGCCCUCCAUACUGCACUCAACAAUCCUUACUAUUCUCUAAAGAAUGAAGCACUGAAAAGGGAAGAAGGGUGCAUUCCAAAUAUCACCCCAGACAUCUGCAUAGCAUACAAAUUGUACCUAGAGUGUCGCAGGCUAAUCAACCUUGUGGACUAUUCACAGGCUUUUGCAACAAUUUUGACAGCUGCUGAAAAAAUGGAUGCAAAUUCUACAUCCUCAGAAGAAAUGAAUGAAAUUAUCUAUGCUUGGUGUAUUAGAACUGUUUUUGAACUAGAACUUUUAGGAUUUAUAAAACCUACCAAACAGAAGACUGACCAUGUGGCAAGGCUAACAUGGGGAGGCU
Molecule: long non-coding RNA, 2118 nt
Filed under: Homo sapiens (human)
Lineage: Eukaryota; Metazoa; Chordata; Mammalia; Primates; Hominidae
Description: non-protein coding lnc-USP35-17:1
Source: RNAcentral